This 467-nucleotide ribosomal RNA is filed under the name uncultured bacterium. Its description in RNAcentral is "partial 16S ribosomal RNA". It matches the Rfam family "Bacterial small subunit ribosomal RNA", at positions 29 to 507 of the family's 1533-position model. The record is from RNAcentral.
AUGAACGCUGGCGGCGUGCUUAACACAUGCAAGUCGAACGGAAAGGCCCAAGCUUGCUUGGGUACUCGAGUGGCGAACGGGUGAGUAACACGUGGGUGAUCUGCCCUGCACUUCGGGAUAAGCCUGGGAAACUGGGUCUAAUACCGGAUAGGACGAUGGUUUGGAUGCCAUUGUGGAAAGUUUUUUCGGUGUGGGAUGAGCUCGCGGCCUAUCAGCUUGUUGGUGGGGUAAUGGCCUACCAAGGCGUCGACGGGUAGCCGGCCUGAGAGGGUGUACGGCCACAUUGGGACUGAGAUACGGCCCAGACUCCUACGGGAGGCAGCAGUGGGGAAUACUGCACAAUGGGCGCAAGCCUGAUGCAGCGACGCCGCGUGGGGGAUGACGGCCUUCGGGCUGUAAACUCCUUUCGCUAGGGACGAAGCGUUUUUGUGACGGUACCUGGAGAAGAAGCACCGGCUAACUACGUG